CCAAUAGCGUAUAUUAAAGUUGUUGCAGUUAAAAAGCUCGUAGUUGAAUUUCGGGAUCAUCAGGUUGGUCGUGCCUCUGGUAUGUACUGAUUUCGAUGGUUCCUCCUUCUUGAAGAUCCGUAAUGCCAUUAAUUUGGUGUUGCGGGGAAUCAGGACUGUUACUUUGAAAAAAUUAGAGUGUUUAAAGCAGGCAAUCGCUUGAAUACAUUAGCAUGGAAUAAUGAAAUAGGACGUUUGAUCCUAUUUUGUUGGUUUCUAGGAUUGACGUAAUGAUUGAUAGGGAUAGUUGGGGGCAUUAGUAUUCAAUUGUCAGAGGUGAAAUUCUUGGAUUUAUUGAAGACUAACUACUGCGAAAGCAUUUGCCAAGGAUGUUUUCAUUAAUCAAGAACGAAAGUUAGGGGAUCGAAGACGAUCAGAUACCGUCGUAGUCUUAACCAUAAACUAUGCCGACUAGGGAUCGGAUGAUGUUAAUUUUUUAAUGACUCAUUCGGCGCCUUACG
Molecule: ribosomal RNA, 500 nt
Filed under: uncultured Glomeromycotina
Lineage: Eukaryota; Fungi; Glomeromycota
Description: partial small subunit ribosomal RNA
Rfam family: Eukaryotic small subunit ribosomal RNA
Source: RNAcentral